AACGAACGCUGGCGGCAUGCCUAACACAUGCAAGUCGAACGAGACCUUCGGGUCUAGUGGCGCACGGGUGCGUAACGCGUGGGAAUCUACCCUUGGGUUCGGAAUAACUCAGAGAAAUUUGAGCUAAUACCGGAUGAUGUCGCAAGACCAAAGAUUUAUCGCCCAAGGAUGAGCCCGCGUAGGAUUAGCUUGUUGGUGAGGUAAAAGCUCACCAAGGCGACGAUCCUUAGCUGGUCUGAGAGGAUGAUCAGCCACACUGGGACUGAGACACGGCCCAGACUCCUACGGGAGGCAGCAGUGGGGAAUAUUGGACAAUGGGCGAAAGCCUGAUCCAGCAAUGCCGCGUGAGUGAUGAAGGCCUUAGGGUUGUAAAGCUCUUUUACCCGGGAUGAUAAUGACAGUACGGGUGGAAGAAGCCCCGGCUAACUUCGUGCCAGCAGCCGCGGUAAU
Molecule: ribosomal RNA, 450 nt
Filed under: uncultured bacterium
Lineage: Bacteria
Description: bacterial SSU rRNA
Rfam family: Bacterial small subunit ribosomal RNA
Source: RNAcentral